This 412-nucleotide ribosomal RNA is filed under the name uncultured microorganism. RNAcentral describes it as "bacterial SSU rRNA". It matches the Rfam family "Archaeal small subunit ribosomal RNA", at positions 459 to 872 of the family's 1478-position model. The record is from RNAcentral.
CAGCAGCCGCGGUAAUACCAACCCCGCGAGUGGUCGGGACGUUUAUUGGGCCUAAAGCGUCCGUAGCCGGCCCGGUAAGUCCCUCCUUAAAGCCCACGGCUCAACAGUGGGAGCGGAGGGAUACUGCCGGGCUAGGGGGCGGGAGAGGCCGGGGGUACUCCUGGGGUAGGGGCGAAAUCCUAUAAUCCCAGGAGGACCACCAGUAGCGAAGGCGCCCGGCUAGCACGCGCCCGACGGUGAGGGACGAAAGCUGGGGGAGCAAAGGGGAUUAGAUACCCCCGUAGUCCCAGCUGUAAACGAUGCAGGCUAGGUGUUAGGCGGGCUUCGUGCCCGCCUAGUGCCGUAGGGAAGCCGUUAAGCCUGCCGCCUGGGGAGUACGGCCGCAAGGCUGAAACUUAAAGGAAUUGGCGGG